Molecule: ribosomal RNA, 230 nt
Filed under: uncultured bacterium
Lineage: Bacteria
Description: partial 16S ribosomal RNA
Rfam family: Bacterial small subunit ribosomal RNA
Source: RNAcentral
UGAGGAACAUGACCUUCGGCGGGGGAUAGCCGGCCCAACGGCCGGGUAAUACCGCGUACGACCACAUGGAGACAUCCCUGAGUGGUGAAAGCAGCAAUGCGCCGAUGGAGUGCCUCGCGGCCUAUCAGCUAGUUGGUGAGGUAACGGCUCACCAAGGCGACGACGGGUGGCUGGUCUGAGAGGAUGGCCAGCCACAUUGGGACUGAGACACGGCCCAGAUCCCUACGGGG